Molecule: ribosomal RNA, 250 nt
Filed under: uncultured bacterium
Lineage: Bacteria
Description: partial 16S ribosomal RNA
Rfam family: Bacterial small subunit ribosomal RNA
Source: RNAcentral
CACGUAGGGGGCGAGCGUUGUCCGGAUUUAUUGGGCGUAAAGAGCUCGUAGGCGGUUCGCUAAGUCGGGUGUGAAACCUCCAGGCUCAACCUGGAGACGCCACCUGAUACUGGUGUGACUAGAGUCCGGUAGGGGAGUGUGGAACUCCUGGUGUAGCGGUGAAAUGCGCAGAUAUCAGGAAGAACACCAGCGGCGAAGGCGGCACUCUGGGCCGAUACUGACGCUGAGGAGCGAAAGCGUGGGGAGCGAA